GGGUCAGUAGGUUGGUCGUGCCACCGGUACGUACUGGUCUCACUGAUUCCUCCUUCCUGAAGAACCGUAAUGCCAUUAAUUUGGUGUUGCGGGGGAACAGGACUGUUACUUUGAAAAAAUUAGAGUGUUUAAAGCAAGCUAACGCUUGAAUACUUUAGCAUGGAAUAAUGAAAUAGGACGAUCGAUCCUAUUUUGUUGGUUUCUAGGAUUGACGUA
This 216-nucleotide ribosomal RNA is filed under the name Glomeromycotina sp. Its description in RNAcentral is "partial small subunit ribosomal RNA". The stretch from base 40 to 216 matches the Rfam family "Eukaryotic small subunit ribosomal RNA", at positions 686 to 864 of the family's 1831-position model. The record is from RNAcentral. Lineage: Eukaryota; Fungi; Glomeromycota.